Molecule: ribosomal RNA, 497 nt
Filed under: uncultured bacterium
Lineage: Bacteria
Description: partial 16S ribosomal RNA
Rfam family: Bacterial small subunit ribosomal RNA
Source: RNAcentral
GAUGAACGCUGGCGGCGUGCCUAAUACAUGCAAGUCGAGCGAACGGACGAGAAGCUUGCUUAUCUGAUGUUAGCGGCGGACGGGUGAGUAACACGUGGAUAACCUACCUAUAAGACUGGGAUAACUUCGGGAAACCGUAGCUAAUACCGGAUAAUAUUUUGAACCGCAUGGUUCAAAAGUGAAAGACGGUCUUGCUGUCACUUAUAGAUGGAUCCGCGCUGCAUUAGCUAGUUGGUAAGGUAACGGCUUACCAAGGCAACGAUGUAUAGCCGACCUGAGAGGGUGAUCGGCCACACUGGAACUGAAACACGGUCCAGACUCCUACGGGAGGCAGCAGUAGGGAAUCUUACGCAAUGGGCGAAAGCCUGACGGAGCAACGGCGCGUGAGUGAUGAAGGUCUUCGGAUCGUAAAACUCUGUUAUUAGGGAAGAACAUAUGUGUAAGUAACUGUGCACAUCUUGACGGUACCUAAUCAGAAAGCCACGGCUAACUACGUG